UGGACCAUCUUCCUCAUCAAUAAGCGUAAUUCUAAAUUCUUGUUCAGUAAACGGCAGUUCUCCAGCUGUAUAAAGGCUCUUCCUGCCAUCGUAAGCUGGAAGGCGACCACCUAAAUGGGACUCCCGGUAUAGCCUGACCAGUUGCCCCAUGACAGCACGGCAGACACCACGGGAUGUGACGUCAGGUGUCAUUGCAACAUCGUAGUGGUAAAGAUCCUUCUUAGGUAGCUCUGCAAAGAAAUGGUUUGCCUUCACAAUGCAUCUAUCACCAAAAGUGCCUUUGCCAGGACGAAGUGGGUAUCUCAUGGAUUUGCUUGA
This 318-nucleotide unclassified non-coding RNA is filed under the name Hevea brasiliensis (rubber tree). The record is from RNAcentral. Lineage: Eukaryota; Viridiplantae; Streptophyta; Magnoliopsida; Malpighiales; Euphorbiaceae.